This 325-nucleotide long non-coding RNA is filed under the name Rattus norvegicus (Norway rat). RNAcentral describes it as "long non-coding RNA NONRATT015948". Lineage: Eukaryota; Metazoa; Chordata; Mammalia; Rodentia; Muridae. The record is from RNAcentral.
GAAAGAUCUCCCAUGCUCAUGGAUUGGCAGGAUUAAUUUAGUAAAAAUGGCCAUUUUACCAAAAGCAAUCUACAGAUUCAAUGCAAUCCCCAUCAAAAUACCAAUCCAAUUCUUCAAAGAGUUAGACAGAACAAUUUGCAAAUUCAUCUGGAAUAACAAAAAACCCAGGAUAGCUAAAGCUAUCCUCAACAAUAAAAGGACUUCAGGGGGAAUCACUAUCCCUGAACUCAAGCAGUAUUACAGAGCUAUAGUGAUAAAAACUGCAUUGUAUUGGUACAGAGACAGACAGAUAGACCAAUGGAAUAGAAUUGAAGACCCAGAAAUG